This 1623-nucleotide long non-coding RNA is filed under the name Bemisia tabaci. RNAcentral describes it as "lncRNA ENSSSA2NGG000767". Lineage: Eukaryota; Metazoa; Arthropoda; Insecta; Hemiptera; Aleyrodidae. The record is from RNAcentral.
UAGAUAUGCUUUUUCGCAUUAUUAAUAAGAAAAUGUAAAAUUAAGAAAAAUCCGUUAUAAAAUUUCCCACUCACCUUAAAUUUCAGUUAUUUUUUCAAUUUCCAUAACUUCAUUCAGAUUAUUUAAAAUAAAAUAUAUACUUCGAGUAAAGAAGAUGUUCCCUCGUGAAACAAAUCGUACCUAGUGCCAAAACUUAUUUAAACACUUCCCAGGACCUUCCCGCAGUAGACGAUGAAUGACAUCUAUGAUUUAUUCUAAAGCACUGUUACUCCGUCUAACGAAAAAAUAAACCUCAAGUUCAUGUUAGAUGAGGCUUGAUGAAGAGCUACAUGAGCUUAAAGAUGAAGAGCUAAUCUGGUUACACUCGUUUUUUUAAACAAGGGCUAUGACUUAAAAUCACGACAUUUUGCAUGGAAAAUUUUAUUAAGAGGUACCUGACAUUGAUUGCAAGGAGCUUAUUGAGGCUUAACGAUCGGUGUGCAUCUGAUCGCACUUGCACUCCUGCAACCACUUGAGACGUCAGUAAUGCUUCGGUUGCACAUGGGAGAUACCGCCAACUGAGAAGAGGUUUACAUGGUAAAAUCGAACAGAAAUCACAUCAAGCACAUCAGGUCCUCCCGAUGCGCUUCACUGCCGCCAGGAGGGAAAGUCGGAGCGCCUUCAAUUUUAAGGCAUGCAACACGGACAACCGCCAAACACCAUGAAGUGUCUUCAGUCGUCCUUAUCAACAUCCCACACGACUGUCACAUCGUGGUUUGAGGAACGUUUUGCGGAGAAGUUGUUCUAAGAUUAAUGCACGCUAACGAAGAUUGCCUGCAAUCACUUUCUAGAAAUCGAUAAAAAAGUAUGCAAAUUUCCAAAGGACUUGAAUCACCGAAUGUUUUACUUAAAAACGUUUAAGUUAUACCCAAACUUCAAUGUAUAGGAUAAAAAGUUUAGAAAAUUUCUCAAACCGUAAUCGCAUGUGUAACUACGUACAAUCUGUAGUUAAAACUCAUAAAUGCAAAACAAAAUCGAAUGUCAAAGCACUAACGAGCACCACCCCUUUUCUUUCCCCUUCCCGUUCCCUCCUUUCCUCCUCUUCCUCUGGUCCUGUUUAGUAGAAGUAAGUUCAAUUCUAGUUUAGUUCGACCUUUGGAGACGUUUCGUUGUUGAAAUAUUCGUAGAGGACGAAAAAAUCCAAGGAAACUUUUAAGACCGGGGUAGACUUUCGGGUGAAGAUAAAAUCAAAAUCCUGAUAACAUCUGUUCUAAGUACGCAUACCUAAUAUUUAUCUCAGUGAAUUAAGUGCCACAAAGAAUUUGAUUGCCCUCUUCGAAAAAGUUCAUCUACAUAAACAUAAACAGUGAACUUCGACACUAAGUAAUGAUAGGGCGCUUCAUUGAUUUAGUUUUUGAAGUUCAUCAGCCUAUAUUUCCUGCAAUUAAGAGGUAUAGAAAGAAGCUUGGGGAAAUGAGGUUGUUAGACAUUUCGGAGAGAUGUGAGGCCGGAGUGAGUUUGAGUAUGAGAAACCAACUAAAUGAGUAAGAUUAACUAAUAACUACUCAAAAAGUACGAAGUAUGGAAGAAAAAAUUCUACAAUGGAGAAUUUGCAUGUAAAUGUUUUAUUGCUUCAUCUGAAAC